GGGCGCACGCGCGCUACACUGACAGAGCCAGCGAGUCUUCUCUCCUUUGCCGGAAGGCAUGGGUAAUCUUGUGAAACUCUGUCGUGAUGGGGAUAGAACAUUGCAAUUAUUGUUCUUCAACGAGGAAUACCUAGUAAGCGUGAUUCAUCAGAUCGCGUUGAUUACGUCCC
RNAcentral lists this ribosomal RNA (170 nucleotides) under Sporobolomyces johnsonii. RNAcentral's name for it is "partial 18S rRNA". It matches the Rfam family "Eukaryotic small subunit ribosomal RNA", at positions 1485 to 1653 of the family's 1831-position model. The record is from RNAcentral. Lineage: Eukaryota; Fungi; Basidiomycota; Microbotryomycetes; Sporidiobolales; Sporidiobolaceae.